Molecule: ribosomal RNA, 729 nt
Filed under: uncultured eukaryote
Lineage: Eukaryota
Description: SSU rRNA
Rfam family: Eukaryotic small subunit ribosomal RNA
Source: RNAcentral
CGGGUGCACUGAUCCGGCCGGGCCUUUCCCUCUGUGGAACCCCAUGGCCUUCACUGGCUGUGCGGGGGAAACAGGACUUUUACUGUGAAAAAAUUAGAGUGCUCCAGGCAGGCCUAUGCUCGAAUACAUUAGCAUGGAAUAAUAGAAUAGGACGCGUGGUUCUAUUUUGUUGGUUUCUAGGACCGCCGUAAUGAUUAAUAGGGACAGUCGGGGGCAUCAGUAUUCAAUUGUCAGAGGUGAAAUUCUUGGAUCUAUUGAAGACUAACUACUGCGAAAGCAUUUGCCAAGGAUGUUUUCAUUGAUAAGGAACGAAAGUUAGGGGAUCGAAGACGAUCAGAUACCGUCGUAGUCUUAACUAUAAACUAUGCCGACUAGGGAUCGGACGAUGCUAUUUCUUGACGCGUUCGGCACCUUUCGAGAAAUCAAAGUGCUUGGGCUCCAGGGGGAGUAUGGUCGCAAGGCUGAAACUUAAAGAAAUUGACGGAAGGGCACCACCAGGGGUGGAACCUGCGGCUUAAUUUGACUCAACACGGGGAAACUCACCAGGUCCAGACACAAUGAGGAUUGACAGAUUGAGAGCUCUUUCUUGAUUUUGUGGGUGGUGGUGCAUGGCCGUUCUUAGUUGGUGGAGUGAUUUGUCUGCUUAAUUGCGAUAACGAACGAGACCUUAACCUGCUAAAUAGCCCGUACUGCUCUGGCAGUUCGCCGGCUUCUUAGAGGGACUAUCGG